UACGGGGGGAGCAAGCGUUGUUCGGAUUUACUGGGCGUAAAGGGCGCGUAGGCGGCGUGACAAGUCACUUGUGAAAUCUCCGGGCUUAACCCGGAGCGGCCAAGUGAUACUGUCGUGCUAGAGUGCGGAAGGGGCUACUGGAAUUCUCGGUGUAGCGGUGAAAUGCGUAGAUAUCGAGAGGAACACCUGCGGCGAAGGCGGGUAGCUGGGCCGACACUGACGCUGAGGCGCGAAAGCUAGGGUAGCAAACGGG
RNAcentral lists this ribosomal RNA (253 nucleotides) under uncultured bacterium. RNAcentral's name for it is "partial 16S ribosomal RNA". It matches the Rfam family "Bacterial small subunit ribosomal RNA", at positions 524 to 776 of the family's 1533-position model. The record is from RNAcentral.